This 224-nucleotide unclassified non-coding RNA is filed under the name Hevea brasiliensis (rubber tree). Lineage: Eukaryota; Viridiplantae; Streptophyta; Magnoliopsida; Malpighiales; Euphorbiaceae. The record is from RNAcentral.
AAAAAAUCGAUAGGAAGAGCCAAUAGCAAAGUCAAUCUAUCAUUAUCUGACCUAAUUUUUCUCUCAAAUUCCGCCGUACUGAAGAUAUCGAUAUCUUCUCUCACUGUCACUUCUCUGUAUCGGUGAUUUGAGGUAAUGAGAAUUACGGUUUGGUGUUUUUUUGACGUUUAGUGAAUUAGAGGAGAGGAGUAUGGGAUUUGCUUACUGUUUAUGGCAGCCGAAUG